This 444-nucleotide ribosomal RNA is filed under the name uncultured bacterium. RNAcentral's name for it is "bacterial SSU rRNA". It matches the Rfam family "Bacterial small subunit ribosomal RNA", at positions 338 to 795 of the family's 1533-position model. The record is from RNAcentral.
CCUACGGGUUGCACCAGUGGGGAAUCUUGGACAAUGGGCGAAAGCCCGAUCCAGCAAUAUCGCGUGAGUGAAGAAGGGCAAUGGCGCUUGUAAAGCUCUUUCGUCGAGUGCGCGAUCAUGACAGGACUCGAGGAAGAAGCCCCGGCUAACUCCGUGCCAGCAGCCGCGGUAAUACGAAGGGGGCUAGCGUUGUUCGGAAUUACUGGGCGUAAAGCGCGCGUAGGCGGAUAGAUAAGUCAGAGGUGAAAUCCCGGGGCUCAACCCCGGAAUUGCCUUUGAUACUGUUUAUCUUGAGUGCAGAAGAGGUAAGUGGAAUUCCGAGUGUAGAGGUGAAAUUCGUAGAUAUUCGGAGGAACACCAGUGGCGAAGGCGGCUUACUGGUCUGCAACUGACGCUGAGGCGCGAAAGCGUGGGGAGCAAACAGGAUUAGAUACCCUCGUAGUC